GUCAGGUGUUGAUGGGACGGCCGAUUUCUUCUCAUUCCUCCGCGGGGUUGGCGGUGCCUGACCCGGGUUAGGGCUUGGGCUUUUGGCCCUGGUACCUGUCUUUCAGCUCUUGCUGAGCAUCCUCAAGCAGCAGCAGUUUUGCCCAAAGGUGGGCAGGGCUAAGCAGAAACCCUGGCACAUGGGAGAACAGGAGAACUGAAGAGGCCAGACAUCGUUGCCUGGAAGAUGGCAAGAGUUGUCUCCCAGCUCUUGCUAGGAUCUGCUCCUCUGACAGCUGAAGAAGAAACCACUGUUAAAACUCCCCCUGUGUCUUCAGGGGCUACAGAUGCUAUAACUGUUUGACUCAAAGGCCUGGAAUAAUCCAGGCUCCAGGAGAAUUGAUUGAGGCCUCUUCUAACUUCAAGAGUCUUCCCCCACAGAAUCAGCAGGCUCUGGAUACUUCAUGGAACAUGUGGAGCCAGGCAGAAAAUCUUGGAAACCCUGGUAGGCAAAGGGUGGGAAUGGCUGAAACAAGUGGAAUUAUUCUCUAUAGGGGAUGAAGCCACGGUAGUUUGUAGAGGAGAAGCAACAUUUAUGCCACAAGAACUCAGUUACUAUUUCUAUAUGAAUUGUUACUGAGCAUUUACAAUAUGUGAGGAAGUCAUAUGGGGAGCAGUGGUGACUUUCUCAUCCUGAGGCACCUAGAGCCAAGGGCAUGAGGAACCUGAAAUCAAAGAGAAGAAAAUUCCUAAGAGAUGUAACCAUACAGCUCUUAUUCAGCAUUGAUUCAACAAAUACUAAGCACAGACCAUAUGUCAGGCACUUUAUGUGGCUUAUUUUUUAUCUGGGAUCUAAGAAUAAAUCUCGGUCCUUUAAGCAGG
This is a long non-coding RNA of Balaenoptera musculus (blue whale), 860 nucleotides long. RefSeq lists it as uncharacterized. The transcript has 2 exons. The record is from RefSeq and is a predicted model, not a curated record. NCBI's taxonomy places the organism in Eukaryota, Metazoa, Chordata, Mammalia, Artiodactyla, Balaenopteridae.